CAGUCUCCAGUCUCUGCAGAUGAGCCAAUUCAGUCUAAAGCAUGUGGAGAUCUUCAUCACAAACCUGAAACAGGAGUUUUAACACUCCUCUGUCGGUCAAAAUCUCAAAGUGUGACAGCUUGAGCAGCUCUCUUCCGCUCUGUGACAACUGCUUUUUUCACUUUCCUUCAUCCAAAAACGUCUUGAAGAAAUCAGAUAACCACAGGAAAAAACUUUAUUUUUAAUUUGAUAGCAACAGCUGCCAAAACAUAAAUAGGUUGUGUGAAGAAAGUGAAAACAGAUACAUAUGUCAGUUUUGGAAAACGACACAAACUUUUUUGAUUUUUGAUUAAAAAGGAAAUAAUCAUAACGAAAGACGACUGACUGAGAACGAUUUGAAAAUAGCUCAAAACAUAAUUUGAGUAGGACAUCAAGCAUCAGCAUGAUACCCUUAUGACCAGGAAAACAAUAAGAUUUAAUCACAGAAAGAACAGCAUCAUCAGCAUACAUCUGCAAUUCAGCAAAAACAGUCAGAAUCUCUGUCGGAUGGAGUCCUUUCACCAGCCAGGAUGUGAGACCUGAUGGAGGAAAUGUAACACGUUAUAUUAAUUACUAAACCAGUGAUAAAGUCAACAAUCAUUCUCUAUAAGGCUUCUCUAAGAAGCAAAUACAUCCACCUAAGAUCCUCCACCACAGCAGAAUCACAUGCUAGUUCCCCAUUUUUACUGUUUUCUUGGUUUUCCAAGAUUUUCUCUUGUAUAAUAUGGAUUUAUCUUUUUUUGUUGUUGCUUAUUUUCUGCUGCCUGAGCAAAAUAUCAAGCAAAAAUAGAGAAGUUUUGUAUGUAAAUUGUUGUUGUGACCAACAGAGGGCACAACACCUGCGACGCCCCGGUUACCUCUGAAGACUCCUGCAGCCAGACAGUGAAGCAUCCAUCAGUCCUGCCCCCAGAGGCCGAAUGUCUGCAGCGCGCUGUGGAAGGACGAGCUGCGUCUGAUGAAGAGGAGGACGACAGGGGCGUGAAGGAGGUGAAGAGGCAUGCCUGCCGCCUGCUUGGCUGUGGAAAAGGAUGUCAGAACAGCGCUGCUCAUCAAAGUCCUCUUCAGGAGAAAAACAGUGACCAUCCUCACAAGGACAGCACAAGCUGCUGCAGGCAGAUAGAGCUACUCAAGAAGAAACCCGACGUCAGCUUAGACAAAGAAAAGGUGAGACAAAAAACAAGUUUGACACCUGAGCCAAUGAGUGUGUAGCAACUUUAAUGUAAUUGCUUAAUUUGUCUGUUUUCUUUUUCACACGCCUCCAUAGCAGACCUCUCACUCGUCCUUCUUUUAUAAGCCACGUUGCGCGUGAUCCUCUAUCCACAGAUCUAAUUGCGCUGCUUACGGAGCAUGACAGACUCUGCAUGACAGAUGCAUGUUUAAUUCACUACCAGUCAAACUGCUUGAUCAUCCAAACCUUACAGUCACCGUUUCGUCUUUCAUCAUACAGGAAAUUAGACUUUUGCUGAGUCGGGUUUUGUCCAUGGCUUCUGAGAGCUUACCUCGGAUUGUUUAGUGGUGGUACCUGUGACUUGUUUGCCGUUUUCUCUCUUGUGGCGUUUAGAUUACUUGAUGGCUUUUUUGUUGUUGACAAAACUUUAAUGCUUCCCCAGACGCAAGUUCAUUGUUUGUAACAUGCAAAAGUAACCAAAAUAACCCCUGCCUGACAAAGUUCUUGAAUUUAUUCUAGAGCAUGAAAAAUACAUUAAAAAAGGGGAAUUUUUAAGUUUAAAAAAAAAAAAUCAAUGGAAUCUGUUAUAUGAUGGGUUUCCCUAAAAAUAGCAGCACCUGCCUACCCUCUCCAAGCACAAACAACCACAAAAGACCCAACAUGCAGGUGAACAGGUGCACUAUAUCCAGAUUCACUAUGUUGUGACGUAGUGACAACAAAUGGCGGUUACAGAGUGUUUACCCCAGUCUGGAGCAGGAGAGCUGCUUUGAGGAUUUAGGCGUGUAACUACUGCCCUCUAGUG
This 1988-nucleotide long non-coding RNA is filed under the name Oryzias sinensis (Chinese medaka). RNAcentral describes it as "lncRNA (ENSOSIG00000008368.1)". Lineage: Eukaryota; Metazoa; Chordata; Actinopteri; Beloniformes; Adrianichthyidae. The record is from RNAcentral.